GCAUUGGUGGUUAAGCGGUAGAAUUCUUGCCUUCCAUGUAGGAGAUCUGGGUUCAAUUCUUCGGUGAUGCA
This 71-nucleotide transfer RNA is filed under the name Loxodonta africana (African savanna elephant). It matches the Rfam family "tRNA". From Rfam's summary of the family: Transfer RNA (tRNA) molecules are approximately 80 nucleotides in length. Lineage: Eukaryota; Metazoa; Chordata; Mammalia; Proboscidea; Elephantidae. The record is from Rfam by way of RNAcentral.